UUUGUAAUUUAUUUAGUUCUGGUUAUGGGAGAAGAUUUAGGCACCAGUCACAUAAGAAGUUUGUAUAGAGUUGUAUAUUAAUGGUUGUUAUGCUUUUAGUGACGAGUUCUUAUUUUUGAAGCAAUUCAGAGUAGGGUGUUCUUCAUAGGAAAUGGUUAAUUCUCAGUGCCAGCCUCCGCGGUUAUUCUGUGGUUUCGUUCUUCCUGUCAGUUGAAAUUUUUUGAAAGUGAGUAUGUAAAGGUUAAGGUAGAAUUUUCUUUGUUUGGUAUUGAGCUUUCAAUGCGGUUUUUAGGUUUCUUUUGUAAAAGAGGAUUAGAUACCCUCGUAUAGGAGAAAUAGGAUUUUGGUGUCUGUAGUGUGAACUAAAAGAAUUUGGCAGCCGAUGAAGUUCGUCCGGGGGAGUGUGUUCUUUAAAAAGACGGUCCGCUUAAUGGUUCACCUUUUUAAAUGGUUAGUGUAUAUCCGGUUUAAAAUCUGUAAUUAGUGUUGCGGGUGAAGAUAGUUGGGUAUUUAAUCCAGGUCUUUGUGCUGCUGAUGGAAAGGGUAGUAAAUGCACUACUUUGUUAAAAAGCUUUAAUAUGAAUUUAAGGUUUAUUCAGGACUCGGUAGUAGGGAAGGUUUAGUUUGUCUUUUCGAAAAGGAUUUAGUUGGGGUACACACCGCCCGUCACUCAGGGCGUUAGCUCUGAUAAGUCGUAACAUGGUAAUGUCGGGGGAACCGGACGUUAGUAGAUUCAUUGUGUAUUUGGUGGAUUU
RNAcentral lists this ribosomal RNA (755 nucleotides) under Gastrothylax crumenifer. Its description in RNAcentral is "12S ribosomal RNA". The record is from RNAcentral. Lineage: Eukaryota; Metazoa; Platyhelminthes; Trematoda; Plagiorchiida; Gastrothylacidae.